UGAACGCUAGCGGCAGGCUUAACACAUGCAAGUCGAGGGGCAGCAUGAUGAAACUUUCGGGUUUCAUUGAUGGCGACCGGCGCAAGGGUGCGUAACGCGUGAGCAACUUGCCCUUAUCAGGGGAAUAACCGGUGGAAACGCCGACUAAUACCCCAUAGCAUCACUUUAAGGCAUCUUUUAGUGAUUAAAGAAUUUCGGAUAAGGAUAGGCUCGCGUGACAUUAGCUAGAUGGCGGGGUAACGGCCCACCAUGGCGACGAUGUCUAGGGGUUCUGAGAGGAAGGUCCCCCACACUGGAACUGAGACACGGUCCAGACUCCUACGGGAGGCAGCAGUGAGGAAUAUUGGUCAAUGGUCGAGAGACUGAACCAGCCAUGCCGCGUGAAGGUCACGGCCCUAUGGGUCUUAAACUUCUUUUGUAAGGGAGCAAUAAGUCUCACGUGUGGGAUGAUGAGAGUACCUUACGAAUAAGCAUCGGCUAACUCCGUG
Molecule: ribosomal RNA, 488 nt
Filed under: uncultured bacterium
Lineage: Bacteria
Description: bacterial SSU rRNA
Rfam family: Bacterial small subunit ribosomal RNA
Source: RNAcentral